CUUGCUAAGAUGUAUAAGACUGAAUCAGAUAAGUGUUGGCGAUGCAAUGAGGCUGAGGAAUGUUCUUUCAUGUGGUGGGGACCUGUAAAAGAGUAUUGGAAAAUAAUCCAUAAUGAAUUUGGAGGGGGGGAGUUUAAAAGCACUUUUCAAAAAAAAAAUAGCCCGUCCUUUUUGUUGGGGAUAAUUCAGAUGGAAAUUCCCAGGUGUUAAAAAGGGUAAUUUAUGUAUGCCGCUACGGCGCCUGUGUUUUGUUGGCCCCAAACUGGAAAACGAGCGACGUCACAACCAAAGAAGAAUGGCAGCUUAAACUGAAGCACUGCUUCAAUGCACAGCUUGCAGACUUAACAUUGGAUAAGAAAACAAGAACAUAGGUAUAGAGAAGACUGAAAAAUGUUUAUUGAAUAUAUGGGGGUGGGGGAGAUUGUGUACACUUGAAAACGUGGGCAACAUUAAGAUAAAUUCAACAGUGUAAGUUUUGAUGGGUGCAAUAAUGGAAUACUGAAAGCUUUAAAUAUUUAAAAUAUGCAGGGAUUUAUGUUCUGAAAAAAUGGACCGUGGAAAGAGAAGGGAAGUCACUGGUAUUUUAAGAUUGUUUAAAUGAAUAUUCUAAAUUGUAAAACGGACAAUUUAACACCAAUUAUAUAUUAAAGAAAAUAAAGUUUUAUUUCAUAUGUUUAUGUUGUGAACCGCCUUGGGAUCUUCGGAGGAAGGGGCGGCAGGCGACCCCUCCUCCAUCCCUCGCUUCUCCUCAGCGCCGUGUUAGGGCGCGAGGGCCCCGCUCGGCCGCCACGACCACCUGAGGCGGUUCCCGGCCUCCAGGCCUCGCCCGCUUCCCUGGAAGCGCCAAGGCGGGAAUGGAGGGGAGGCGUCGCCGCCCCCUUGCAAGGCCCGGCCUCGGCCAGAGGACGUCGCCCUCUCCCUGAAGGCGGCCUUGAAGGAGGAGGAGCCGCCGCCGCCACAGCAGCAGCAGCAGAAGAGGCAGCAGCGGCCGCCGCCAGAGGCCGGGAUUGUUUCCUGGGGAAAGCGCAGCAGGCUGGGAAAGCGUUUCCGGAAGGCAGGCGGGCGGGCGGGCAGGCAGGCAGGCUGCAUCCCGCAGCUGGGCUCCGAAGAGCGGCGGGGACCGGCCGGAGGAGGAGCAGCGGUGGCGGCGGCGGCGGCCGAGCGGGUAAGUCUGGGCGGGCGACUCCUCGCCCCUUUCUGCGCGGCGCUUCGCCCUCCGAAGGCGGCGGGGAGACACAGGGAGGCGGCGCAUCUUGCCCCUGCCAGCUGCCACAUCUGCAGCAGCGCGGCUGGAUCGGGAAGGCGGCAGGGUCCUGCUCCGGCAAGAGGCGGCUCGGGGGGCGGCGUUGGGCACGGACCCCCGGCUCGCCCCGGGCUCCAGGAGAAGUUGCGGGCACGAAAUGCCUUCCGUGCGUUGCUGCUGCUUCUGCAGCCGAUCUCGAGUUGCAAGGAGCAAACUCCGGUGUGUGCCUGCGCGGGGGUGGGGAAGGGCACCCCCCCAAUCCGCAUUGGACUCCGAAUGCGGGAUCCGCAUUGGACUCGGGAUAUUUCUGGGCGGCGGUGCCUGCGGAUGGUGGGAUCGGCGGCAGAGGAGAAGUCGAGGGAGGGGAAUCGGGGGCGAGCUGGGCAGGAAGGGAAAUGCAAAAAAAUAAAUGCAAGGGAAGGGGGUCGGAGGUGGGGGGCUGCCUGGGGUCGUCUUUGUGCAUGGAGCUGCUCCACGCCCUGGUUUGGCCCUUGCUGCGUGUCCCUUGCUGGCAUCCCCGGCCCCGUCCUUCCCCCAACCUUUUGCCAGGCUGCGGUGCCUGCGUCUCUCCUCCCAGGGCCUAAGGAAGCCGAGUGCUGCACUCGCCGUGGGCAUGCACAUUGUCUCCGUUAUGCGCUAUGAGCAUUGCUCUUCUCUCGGAUGCUUCGGUGGGGUCUCCUCCUUUCCUCCGGGGACUGUGAUGCCGCAUCCUUAGGGACACCCCGAGGGAGACGCGUGGUUGCAAUGCGAUGAGCUGUCAGAGGAUCUGAUGCAUAUCCGAUGCAAGGCUGUAGGAAGCCUGCUUCUAAGGACAUGGGUUUGGAUGAACAGAUGAGGUGGUGGAGGCAGGCGACCUUCAUUGCUGGAGCCCCCAUAUACUGGCUCCUUCCCCUCCCCUUUUUAUAUUUUUUUUAUACAUUACUACAAUUAUUCAACAAACAUUCUGACAUUUCAAACUUCAGCUCCCUUCCUCCUCUUUCUGCGGUUCUUUGCAUUUAUUUUCAUCAUUUCCUGCAUACUCCAAAUUAUAUUAACAUAUUCUUCAGUUCUUCUAUUGUCAUAUCUAUUUCAUAUACAUUUUUGAAACUGCAGGUUUUUACAAUAAUCAGUAAAACACUUCCAUUCCUUUCUAAAGAGUUUAUUGUCUUGAAUUUUCUGGUAAGUUUUGCCAUUUCUGCAUACUCCAUUAAUUUUUGUAGCCAUUCUUCUCUUGUCGGGACUUCUUUCCAUAUUUGGGCAAAUAACAUCAUUGCAGCUGUAGUUGCAUACAUAAAUAAAUUUCUGUGCUGCUUUGGUAGUUCUGAUCCCAUAAUUCCCAAGAGAAAAGCUUUUGGGUUUUUUUUACAAACGUUAUCUUAAACAUCUUUUUCAAUUCAUUAUAUAUUAUUUCCCAGUAAGCUUUAACCUUACCACAAGACCACCACAUAGGAAAAAGGUACCUUCUUUUUCUUUACAUUUCCAGCACUUAUUAAAUUUUGAUUUAUACAUUUUUGCCAGUCUGCUAGGUGUUAGGUACCAUCUACAGAACAUUUUCAUGUAAUUUUCUCUUAAACCAUAACAUACUGUAAAUGUUAUAUCCAUAUUCCUUUCCUUCCCUUUUUAAUCAAACUUUGCAUAUAAAACUUUGCAGGGCCAAGUGCAGUAUCAUCUAUACACCAUUCUAGACGUAAAAAAUUAGCAUAUGCAAAUUUGUGCCAUAAGCCUGCACCUUUAAGUACCUGGUUGAAGCAGUGCCUCUGUUCUAUGAAGGAACGAAAGAUGGCUAAUUUUCAAACAAGGGGAAGCAGAAUGCCAUUGUUGCGUAGCUAAAGUCCUGGUAGUUUGUUGGUUUUCCAGGCACUUUUAAUUCCUUUCUCCAAGGUACAGAAAAUGCAAAGGCAGCUGUGUUGAUCCAUAAAGUGAAAAUCCCCAAAUCCACAGUCGGACAACACUUUUGUUAAGACUAGCGAAACAUUUUGGUUGGUCCCAAUAAAGGAAUUGCCCUACUGUGGUUCUUGGAACCCCUUUGACAUGCCAGAGGAUUGUGGCUAUGUAGAGUGAGAUUUAAACAGCAAGGCAGCUGUGGAAGGAAGUGACUUCUAGAAGAUGUUGUAGGUGUCCCCCGCUUUAUUUAAAAGAUCACAGAUCUAGAACUGUAGUCAAGGUUGUUUUCAGAUUUCAUUCAUCAGGAAAGAGAAAGGAAAAGGUCUCUGGCAUAUGUUCAGUCAAUAUUCUACCAGAAUGUUGAGUAAACAAGCAUUGGACUUCUUCAGUGUUCAGACAAUUAAUGCAAAGGCAUCAGUUGAAAGAGAAACAUGCAGGAUUGUAACAUUUUUAGUAAUAACAAAAAAAAAACUUGAAACAAAGUUAUAUUUCAGUGAGUGUUGCUUUUUUUGCAUUGAUUUAUAAUGCCUUUCCCCACUCCACUUUUUAGGCCUGACCACUAGUGUAACAUUUGGAAAGGGGGGGGGGAGUCUUUGUCAAUUGAGAGACAUGUUUUGUGGCGUCUGGGGCAGAUGAAGGCAUUCGGUUGUACCGCUGCGGAUGAACCAUGGCUUUUCUUCUCUCUGCCCUCCUCCCAUAUUUAAAUCCCGUCUUUAAAAAAUGAUAAAAAUUAUAUUUACCGUAUUUAAAAAUGGUAAAAAUAAUGGCAUAUAAAAAUAAAUUAUGGCAUAUUUUUAAAUGGUAAAAAUUAUCUGCUAGACUUCAUUAUUAGUUAAUUGAGCCAUGUAAGUGGGUUGGUUUCUUCUAGGCCUUGAAUCAUGCAUGUGGCUUCAGAAUGUUUUAUCAGCUUAUUGUUGUUUAAUGAGAUAUUUAAAAUAAUGUAAUGAAAAGGCAUGUUUGAAAUCUAAUACACAUUGAUGUGCCUGAUGGGAUACACUUUAGAGCUUUAAUUUAAGCCUGUGGAACGAUGGGAACUUGCUAAUUAAAAAGCAGAUUGUUUUCACUUUAGCGCCAUAGCCAGUAAUGUAGCUGCAUAAUAGACAUAUUCAAUCUGGAAAUAAAUUUGCAUCAUGAAUUGGAACUUAAGAUUCUUUCUUCUGUUUUCUAAAUUUUGAGGUGCUUCAUUACCUUUUAAUUUUUACCUGUGCUAAGGAAUAUUGGCUUUGCUGAGUUCACUUAUAUUGAAUGGUCAGGUUCUGGUGGACGACAAAUCUAAUUUAGAGCUGAAUAUUAUUUGUUUUAUCUUGAAAUGUAACAUCAUGGUGUAUUGCCUAAAUCUGUGGUGGCUUAGUUUGAUCAUGUUAGAAUUUGCUACGUGUGCAGUGCAAUCCUAAGCAUAUUUUCUCAGAAAUAAGUCGGGCUGUGUUCAAUGGGAGAUACGGUCAGAUACAUAUGCAGAGAAUUGCUGUCUUAAAUGCUGUUUGCUACACAUGCCAGGGACAAACAUUUGGGUUGCAACCCCCUAUGUGCUUACCUAGAAGUAAGUCUCUGCGUAGAAACAGAUAGGAUUGCACUGUAAUCAAACUUCUCUCUGAACAAUUUUACAUGACUUCAUUGUGUGGUUUUCUCUUUUCUCUUCCCCCAUCACUACUGGAAUCUGCUUUCCCCUCAGCAUUCCUGUUUGUCUCAACUGUGCUGCCUUUGCAACUUCUUUUCUCCUGCUGCUGUCACCACUCAGCCUUGGCCACUUGACAAGUCUUGGUAUCGUUGCUGCUUCACUCCCUCCACUGAUCUUGAACCUGGACAUUUAUCAGGACCCGUGUUCUGCUGUGUUGUCCAUUUCCAAGACAGUGUUAAUGUAUUUUAUUUUAUUUGUAUUUUAUCUUAUUAAGAUAGUUGCCUUGUUUGUCCUAGGCAGUAUUCUGAAGAUAUAUAGGAAGUCAAUGGACUGUCUGAGAUGUUUGAGUACAGUAGGACUUAGUAAGUGUGCUUAAGAUUUCAUCUUCUGUUUAAUAAUGCUGACUUGUCAUUGUAAUACUCCGUUAAAAUUCUUCAUGGCUCAUUGGCAGUUGUCUUAGAUUUGUUAAUUCCCAGAUCUGGAAUACAUGCUUGACAGUAAGUGGGGUCAAUUCAGGACAUCCUUGCACUAGAGCAACCUUUUCAAAACUAGUUUCUUCCAGAAGUUGUUGACUGCAUCUCCCCAUAACCGCAGACCAUUGACUACACUGGUUGGGAUGGAUGGAGGUAGGUGGGCACUGGAUUGAGGAAGACUGCACUAGAGGUCUAAAUUUGUAUUGUGCAGCAACCUACUGAAUUCAGCAGAAUUUAAUUCUGUGCAUUUGCUGCUGACCAGAUGUCCCCUGGAAUUCAGCAGCUGAACUCCAGACUCAUUUACUUGGAAUAAGAGGGUGCUAUGGUGUUAUGAAAACUUUUGAACAAGUGUAAUGAAUUCCUGAGUAACAGAUUCCUAAAGGGAAGCCAUGGUAGUUUGUUGAGCUUCUGACCACCCCUCUGCUAGAACAGAGCUAGGGAUGGAGCAACUUGUUCCAAAGUUGUGAUAUCCCUGUUCAUAAGCCUUGCAAUGCAGUUGGUACCUGGGUGCCUGCUCCUCAUGUUGCGUGUUCAUAGCUCAGUUCAUUAUUGAUGGUCGAGUUGACUUUCACUUCUUAGCUGAUCUUUCCUUCCAUAAAAUGUGAUAUUUUGCAGGCAUCUUGUGUUCUGCAUUUCUCACAUGGCAUGUAAGGGGUUACUUAAAAUUGAAUUGAUGGAACAGAGAUGCUGUGUAAACACCAGUGAUGUUUACUAAAAUGUAAGCAUUCUUUCUCUUUAUGUUGUUUGUAUAGUAUCCACUUUGGUAUAAGUAUUCUGUACAACUGAGAGAAAUAAAUUUGACUUGAAGGUAGUUAUUCAAAUGGGAAUCCUUAAUUAUAUAAGUCUUAAGGUUAAUUUGAGUACAUUAUGCUAUAUUAAAAGCUCUCUUUAAUGGCUGAGGUUUCUUUAGCUCAUGCACUACAACUACACCAUCUGUGUCAAUACCUAUCAUUUUGUUUUGGCACAAAUGUUACCUGCUGAUAUCGAGCGAAGUCCUACUGAGACUAGACCAUUGACAUUAAUGGACAUUGAAAAUCACAGAUUGUCUGCGGACUUGAGCUGUAAUCCUACAUACACACUUGUGGUAACACAAUGAGGCUUGGUUUUUAGUAGAAAAAUAUACAGCUGCACUGUAAUGUGCAAUUCUGUGUUACAUCAGUCCAUGUUCUUAAAAUUAUUGCGCAAGAGCCCAUAAGAGUCUGGGGUCUGUUUCCUGGUUCUUUUUGACGACUCUGCUGUGUUGUCAAAAUAAAAGUUUCAAUAGCCUCCAGUCCAGUAACCAUUUGACACAACCGUUCUCUCUCUGACUCCUGCAGCAUCCAGGAAAAGAGUAUGAUAGCAGGUUUUCUAAUGUAUCUAUCCAAGAACAAUUUAUACAUUGAACCAUGCAGUAGGUAAGC
This 6597-nucleotide long non-coding RNA is filed under the name Podarcis lilfordi (Lilford's wall lizard). The record is from RNAcentral. Lineage: Eukaryota; Metazoa; Chordata; Lepidosauria; Squamata; Lacertidae.